Molecule: long non-coding RNA, 335 nt
Organism: Ornithorhynchus anatinus (platypus)
Lineage: Eukaryota; Metazoa; Chordata; Mammalia; Monotremata; Ornithorhynchidae
Exons: 3
Source: RefSeq, a predicted model, not a curated record
ACUCCGCCCCACCCACCCAGAGCCAAGGGGAAUGGGCACUUUGACUCCAGCCUGAGGGAUGGAUGGAAGGAUUUGAAGUGGGCAGCUAGGAAAGACGAUGCUGAAAUGCUGGACAGCUCUCACGCUGACUAGGCCGGUGCCCAGGCAAUGGAGGACCCAGGAUGCCGAAUACACGAGUUGGUCACCUAGCACCUCAAAUGUGAGGCCGCAGGCCGUUGAGGCAACAACAGGAUUUCGGGUAGAACCGAGAGCCCCGGAGAAUAAAGUUGAGCUCGGCCGCUGGUUCUAUGGACUGUGGAUAUUUUGGCAGCUGCCUUUUCAGGCUCUGGAUUAUC